Non-coding RNA from Fundulus heteroclitus (mummichog), 485 nucleotides. The record is from the annotation of a RefSeq genome assembly. Lineage: Eukaryota; Metazoa; Chordata; Actinopteri; Cyprinodontiformes; Fundulidae.
AUGAUGAUGAUGAGGAGGAGGAGGUUCAUGCAGGAAUGGUUUGUAUCACUGUGGUACACGUUUGGUGGAGGAACCAGACUGGAGCUUGGAAGUGAACGCCGUCCCACCCUGACAGUGCUGCCCCCCUCCAGUGAGGAGCUGCAGCAGGGGAAGGCCACCCUCAUGUGUCUGGCCAACAAGGGCUUCCCCUCAGACUGGAGUCUGUCCUGGAAGGUGGACGACAGCAGCAGCAGCAGCAGCAGCAGCUGGGAGCAGAGCAGGAGCCCCGGGGUGCUGCAGAAGGACGGCCUCUACAGCUGGAGCAGCACCCUGAGGCUCCCUGCAGACCAGUGGAGGAAGGUGGGCUCUGUGACCUGUGAGGCCACCCAGGGCUCCCAGACUGCAGUCACACAGACGCUGAGGAGAGACCAGUGUUCCCAGUCCUGACCGCACUCUCUGAGACACUGAUAUUGGCUUUAAUCUGUGACUUCUCUCACUUUUUCUCU